AGGGCCACACUUGUGGCACUUGUGGCUCCCAGGUUAGGGGUCAACUUGGAGCUACAGCCGCCAGCCUACGCCACAGCAACACCAGAUCUGAGCAGAACUGGCGACCUACACCACAUCUCAUGGCAACGCUGGAUCCCCAACCCACUGAGCAAGGCCAGGGAUCAAACCCCCACCCUUGUAGAUACUAUUUUACAAGAUAAAAGGGUUAUGGGGAUGAAUGGUGGUGAUGGCUGCACAACAAUGUAAAUGUAUCUAUCACUGAACCGUGCACUUCAAAAAAUGGUUAAGAUGGUAAAUUUUACGUUAUGGAUAUUUUUCCACAAUGGAAAAGAAAGAAUUCAAUUACAAAAUCAGCUGAAUGUAAAUAUUAUAAAAAUUUAUUUCUGGGAAAAAAUGGUAGGGAUUGCAGCAUUUUCACUUUCACAAUAUUUAGUGAUAUUUUCAUAUGAUUCAUUUGCUUUUGAGAGUUAAAUUAGAAAACAGAGCUUGUUUACUGGGCAUUAGGAAACCCACAGCACGGACAGGAAAAAGCCGCGAGUGCUGGUUUGCUCCUUGUCGGAUAUGUGAGCCAGUUUCCUCAUCAUAUCUCACCAUUAGACUUGAGAUAAAUCAGUCUGCCCUUAAAAAAAAAAUUUUACACAAAUCCACCCUCUCUGCUGACAAGUCUUGUGAUUUAAAAACAACCUAUUGUGAGGUGAUCUCAAUACACUAAUUGUGUAAAGCAUUUAGAAUGAAGCCAGAUACAUAGCAAACAUUACAUGUGUUAUUCUUAUUCCAGAACUACAAAACUGUAUCCACAAGUCCAAAACUCAAACAAACAAACCCCCCAAAAACUAAAAAUCAAAAAUUUGCCCCCCGAAGUCUGGCACAAAUUAAUUUGGGAGCAAAACCUGAUGUGAACUGAUGGGAGGCUAUUGAUAGUCGAUACUCAUUCCUUAUUCUGCAUUAACAAACUUAACUGAAGAAAUAUUAACAUAUUUGAAUGCUCCUCCACACCCCCAUUAGAGGUAUUAUAUUAUAAUAUACUGUAAUAUAGUAUAGUACAAUAAACUGUAUUACCUCUGUAUUUCCUAAAAAUCUGAAAUACUCUUAAUUUCAAAACAUCCUAAAAAACAAAAAAAGUCCCUGGUCCUGGCCUCAGAAAACAGGAGUUUCAAAGAAGGGACUGUGGACCUAUAUUUUAUUAUCCUUUGUUGGCCAGAGACCUGGUGUGACAACCAGACAAUAUAAGAAAACUCGCCAUCUGGUGGUUGCAGUGGAGAACAAGCAAAACCAAAAUGAAGUAAAAUACACAAAAUACUAUUAUUAAAAUUUCCAAUAGCGUAGCAUUUACAAUAACUGUACGUACACAAAAAACUGACUGCAACUUAAAAUUGAUUACUAAGUUGAUUACACUAUAAAUUGGAAUCACAAAUUUUAAAAUACUUUAAAAUUGCUCUAUCAGUUUGCUGAGAUUUCCUUAUCCCAGAGUGACUCUGAGCAGGUGGAUGUAGCACUUGCUACCUAGACCAGAAUACUCUUCGAUAGCCUGCACUUUCUAAUGCUCUCAUUCUCUUGCUUUCUGCUCUCACAGACUUCCUCUUCUUACCUGAUACAACGAAAAUCAAAGGUCUUCCAACACAUCUUUCACACACAACUUUUAUGCCUGAGGUCAGCACAACUUUUCUGCUAAGGGCCAUUUUGGACACUGUGGGCCAUUUGGUUUCACCUACCUAACUCUGUCAUUGUGGACUGAAAACAGUCAUAGACAUUACAUAUCUAUGACAUAGGCUGCAGCAACACCAGAUCCUUUAACCCACUGCGCCUGGGAUGGAAGCCGUGCCUCAGAGGCAACCUGAGCUGUUGCAGUUGGAUUAACCCACUGUAUCGCAGCAGGAACUCCUAAAAACCAUUUUAAGAUGUAAAAACUAUUCUUAGUUUGUCAGCUGUGCAGACACAGGCAGUGGGCCAGAUUUGGCUCAUGGGAGGGCUAUAGUUUGCUGACACCUGGUUUAACCAAGUUUCGCAACCAAUCAGCAGUGACGUCAAUCCUUGUACAUUCUUUUAAAACUCACAGACCUCUCUGGAAUCUCCCACAUUCAGAAGUUAUUUGGCAGGUAAGAUUUUGUUCAGGGAGUGACCUGGAGUAGGGCUGCACCCCUCCUCCCCACCUUCCUAUGGAACCAUCCAGGCUUAGGUAUCACUUUCAUUGGGACUGUCAAGUGGAAUGCUUUGAGUAGGCAGGUAAAAUAUCGUUUUGCUGUUGCUUUCUUUUCCUUUGCUAACCUGGAAGACUUCAUACCUGUAUCAUUACUCUCUGGUCUAAGAUGUUCCUAAAUAGAGCUAACAGAGAUUGAAAAAACUUUCCAAGCUGGUAAAGCCAGCCAUCUGAUUGUUUUUUUGACCUUGGAGAGGUCAUUAAAACAAAAAAAAUAACAACUUUGCAAUUGGGGGUUCUUUUGUGGCACAGUGGGUUAAGGAUCUGGUGUUGUCACUGCCGUGGUUUGGGUC
Molecule: long non-coding RNA, 2490 nt
Filed under: Sus scrofa (pig)
Lineage: Eukaryota; Metazoa; Chordata; Mammalia; Artiodactyla; Suidae
Description: lncRNA (ENSSSCG00040030666.1)
Source: RNAcentral